This 496-nucleotide ribosomal RNA is filed under the name uncultured bacterium. Its description in RNAcentral is "partial 16S ribosomal RNA". It matches the Rfam family "Bacterial small subunit ribosomal RNA", at positions 29 to 507 of the family's 1533-position model. The record is from RNAcentral.
AUGCACGCUGGCGGCGUGCCUAAUACAUGCAAGUCGAGCGAACAGACGAGGAGCUUGCUCCUCUGACGUUAGCGGCGGACGGGUGAGUAACACGUGGAUAACCUACCUAUAAGACUGGGAUAACUUCGGGAAACCGGAGCUAAUACCGGAUAAUAUAUUGAACCGCAUGGUUCAAUAGUGAAAGACGGUUUUGCUGUCACUUAUAGAUGGAUCCGCGCCGCAUUAGCUAGUUGGUAAGGUAACGGCUUACCAAGGCAACGAUGCGUAGCCGACCUGAGAGGGUGAUCGGCCACACUGGAACUGAGACACGGUCCAGACUCCUACGGGAGGCAGCAUUAGGGAAUCUUCCGCAAUGGGCGAAAGCCUGACGGAGCAACGCCGCGUGAGUGAUGAAGGUCUUCGGAUCGUAAAACUCUGUUAUUAGGGAAGAACAAAUGUGUAAGUAACUAUGCACGUCUUGACGGUACCUAAUCAGAAAGCCACGGCUAACUACGUG